Molecule: long non-coding RNA, 3342 nt
Organism: Herpailurus yagouaroundi (jaguarundi)
Lineage: Eukaryota; Metazoa; Chordata; Mammalia; Carnivora; Felidae
Exons: 4
Source: RefSeq, a predicted model, not a curated record
CAGGCGUGGGCUCGCAGUACGACUCCUGCCUUUUACCUGCAGCACCAUUGCCACCAUGGCCAUCCCAAGGGGAAGUCAGCCAGCAUUUCCACGUGACAUCUUCUUCUUCUUCUUCUUCUUCUUCUUGCAGCUAAAAAAUAAAUCAGUUCUAAUAAAAACAUUUAUACUAUAUUCUUUAUUGUCAGCUAAUCCUGCCUGAACUCAUUAAAUGGCAGUGUGUGGGUUAUUUGCUGUCAGUGAAAUUAUCAAAGGCAUUUUUCAGCUGGGGCACCGGGAAAACAUAUGCUUCAAUGCCAACUAAAACAAUAAUGAGGAAAUGUUAUGAUCAGUCUUGACCAGAUGACCCUGCCCAUUUUAGAUUAGUUCUUAAUUUCAGCACAAGGGUCAUCCUGUGAAUUCUUACAAUAAGUCACUGCUCACCACUCACAUGAAAAAGAUGUGACUUAUUAGAAAACUCACUGUACUCAUUGCAGUUAAUGAGAUGUGGAAAGCUUUGUAAUUUGAUUUGCUGGGCCAUAUGCUGUAAAGGGAUACUGCUGAUUUCAUUCCUCCGUAUUUAAUUUAAGCAGUAUGCAAUACCUUCUUCAUAUGGCUACUUAUAUAAUAAAAAUUAACUUGGGGUAUAAAAAAUACACCAUUGUGGGGUUUAUUACUUGGUGUGGUUCAGUUUCAAGUGUUUUUCAUGGAAACAUCUGUAAGUAAUGUGUGUGGGUCUAAUUUUAAAUCCCGCCAAAUAUUUUCCAUUUAACAUUUGGUUUAACUGACAAGCCCGCAGAGGUGGUUUUCAGAGUUGUUGGUAACAGAUACGUACAGUAUUCCCAAGGCUAUAGCCUUCUUUUUUUUUUUUUUUUAAUGGCAGACAGAUAACAGUAAUCCAAAACUCGGUUUUUGAACUUUUUAGCAUUUCAGUGGAUACAAACGGCAGUUGAGAAUGUAGGCACUUCUAACCCUUAAAGACCAAGCUGCGGUUUAAUCUAGUAUCCCCUAAAAUUACCUUGUUUAUGACUUUUGUUUCAACAUCUGCGGCCAAGGAUUCGGGUGGCAGAUUCUCUGGAAGGCUGACUGUGGGAAAGAGACCCUUCAGGACAGGGGCUUGCCUCCCCUCUGAAGAGAGGGGGAGGGAGGAGGACUAACAGUCUGAGACAUGGGCCGAUGCCCAGGGAGGUCCGAUCCUCCAGAGAGGUUCUAGAACCCCAUUCUAUUUUUCUACGGUUGAAAAAAAUACAUAUUUUUUUCAAAUAUACAAAUAUACAAAUAUAAAUAUAUGUGUAUAUAUCCUUGCUCAAUUCUUAGGGGGCACACAGGCCCCCUGGACUAUCCAAGGGUCUGGUCAGCAGCUGGUCAGUAAUACAACCACUAGACGAGGAGGUGAGGUUGCCGGAUAAAAUAGAGAACCCCGAGUUGAAUCUGAACUUCAGAUAAACAACAAAUAUUUUUUUAGUAUAACGACGAGCCGCAGCCUGCCACACUUUUGCUUGCUCAGUCGGGCACCCCUACCACCGGCCUGGUGACUGCGUGUCGUUCCAGGCCAGGAAGCCUUAUCCGGGUUGUGUGAUGACGGCGGCCGGGCAGGAGCCACAAGCGCCCCCACCCCUCCGGGCUGGGGGUGGGCGCCGCGCUCCGCUUGGAAACGCGCCCGAUCGCACCGGGGCGUCGCGGCACCGCCAGCUCAGCACCGGGCCGGGCACGAGGCGGGGACCCCCAGAAACAUACCGAAACCGUCUCCAUGGCUGCCUCUGAAAUAAAGCGGUGUGUGUGGGAAGAGAAACUCGAGGGGGAAGUUCAGCAACCAACGCAGAGACUGAUUUUUUUGUUGAAGCCUCACGUUUCUGUUCCUUUUGGUGAUGGUGGUAACGGAGGUGCACGAUGGAUACAAUUUUUGUAACACAGCAGUUGCCUCCAAACCCAUUAACCAGCCACGAACGGCGAGUCAGGGAACGGAGUGUAGCAUCUCCGGUCCAUUUUAUUUUCUGGACUUCUGUCGGUGGUGCAAACUGAACUGCAGGCUUGUAACCAAACUUUGCAAAGGGUCUCCUUCGGCUCCUCAUCCGCAGAGAUGCCAGGCUGCCGUGGCCACUGGCCACACCUUUCCUCGGGGCGUGCCAGCCAAGGCAAGUGGCGGUUGGAUGGCGUGCGUGGUCCUGUGUCCGCGUCCAACUCUUUAUAUGUUGUUGACUAGGGGUAACCGCAGCAGUGUUGUGGCCGUGGCCCCGCCGACGCGCAGGAGAAGAGAAGUCUUCGAAUUGCUAGCAAGUGGCCCUGAGGCCCAUACAUGGCUACGUGUCAGCUGAGCUGAGACAAACGAGGUGACAGAAACACAAGGGAAGGAAGCACGGUUAUGCAGCUGCCCACUCCCCUCUGCCCAGACUGGUCCUCGGCGAGCCGCCACCCUGGACUGAUGAGAAUAUGCCAGUGAUAAACCACAACUGUGGGAAACACUGGGUGGGGGCAUAAAUAUCAUCUGUAAACAAUUAGGCAGCCACUGCUCAUUCAGUGCCGUUUUGAGAAGCUAAGGAAGUCUGCAAUCAGUUAUAUCUCCAAUUACCAUAAAAAUAUAUUAGCCAUUCAUUCAUUUAUUAAUGAUUCAUCAGUUAACCACACAUAAUGAGCAAAUAAUUAGCAGUGCUGUACGGUUGCCAAAAUUGAAGAAGUGUUGGCAUUUUAAAGAUGAAAGGUUGCAUUUAUGCAAAAGUCUGGCGAUGAUAAAGUUAAUAUGGAAGAUAAUUAUAAAAGUGGCUGUCCUAUAUUACAGACUGAGGUACCACAAAACUUGCCUAAUUGAACCGAAAUGAAUAUUCUUCCAAAGUCUGCGUGUUGCCACACACAAACUGCUGAAUUUCUCCCGAAGAUCUCCCUUCAGUAAGGUGCACUGCACAAUACAAGUUAAUAAAAUGCCAGACAGCUAGACUGUGUUCUUUGUUUGCUUGGUUCAGGGCCUCGUGGAAAACAAUAAAUUGCAUUCAUGUCAGCUGAGGCCCAUCCCUUUGCUAAUUACCGUUUGGUGCUGAAAUGACUUCUGUGAAAUUGGGAGCAUGAGGAAACAUACAGCCAUACAAGGGAGGCUUUUCAGAGUUUUGCAGUAAAUGUGAGAUAGGCCUCAGGCACACAGAUGUUAAAACAGUGAAUUCCCCCACAGAUUACACUAAUGGAAACCCUGUCAGGGUGCAGUGCUGGGCCCUAGGACUUCAGAGAGGAAACGUCAGGGUUCCUGCUCUUGGGAGACUCUCAUUUCUGCUUGGGAAGCAGGCGCUCAAACUUCACGAAGCCAGAUUUCUGCAUCAUUACAAUGCCUGGCAUGCAGGAGGCCAAUAAAUGUUUGUUGAAUGAAUGGAUCUGUUAAAA